CAAAACACCAGGCCGUCGCCACUCUCCCUUGCAAAACACGCGUUGCCGCCCUCUCCUCCCAAAACGCUGCCGCGCGCGCUCUGGCCGCCAUUGGCCUCCCGAAUUCUUCCCCACGCGCCCUUGGCCUCCCGAAAUCUUCCUCGCCUGCUCGCUCUUGUUCUUCCCCAAACCUUCCUCGCCCGCGCAUCCACCCGCACGCCACUUCAUUUGUCUUCUCAAUCUCGCCCUCCCACCUGCUGUGCCUCCCAUCUUGCCUCGCCGUCUCUACCACUCACCAGCAGGUCGCCCCCCAAAUCCACUUCGCCGUCGCUGCCCGUCAACCAGCAGGUCUGCCCCCAAUCCACCUCGCCGUCGCUGCCCCUCUGCAGCAAGUCUCCCCUAAUCGACCUCCCCAUCACUGCCUCUGACCAGCAGCAGCAGGUCGCCCCCAAAUCCACCCCAAUCCAAGUCACCGUCACAGCCUCUCACCACCACCAGCAGGUCGCCCCCAAUCCACCUCGUCGUCGCUGCCCCUCACCAGAAGAUUCACCCUCAAUAAUCCACCUUGCCGCAGACCAGAUCUCCACCGCUGCGCCAGCUGUUCCCAAGAUGAUGACUCCGCUCCCAGGCAGCAGUUCCUCCCACGGUGGCAGUCAAGAGCAGCAGAGGCUCGGUCAGCUACUGCUUCCCCAACCCCAUCCAAAUCUGUACAACAGCCCGUUCCUCCGGUGCUCUCCCACAGCAGCCCCUCCUGUAGACUGAAGGAGGAAAAAUGUCAAGCGCGAGAAGAAACAAUGAGGAUUAAUGAGUAUGAACAGCAAAAGCUUGCAAACAAUGCAAAAAUCAAAGAAAGGCUGGACUCUCUUAAACUUCCUACUAUGAACACCUUGGUGCUGCCUCGGCAACCUAACAAAAGAAGAAAUAAAACUCAUCACAUAAGUGAUGCAGCAACUGAAGGUCACAAUUUGCAACCAAGGGCACGAAGAAAUAAUAGUGAGGUUGCAGAUGAGCAUAUUGCUCGUGAUCCUAACCAUGACACAAUUGGAGAUUUCUUAUGUGACAAUUGGAGAUCUCUCAGCCCCUCCACCAAUCGAUCCUUGAUCCGCCUCAUAUGGCCCUAGCAGCCAACAAGCUCCCGCCGCUUCUCCAUUAGGUUGUAUUGAAACAUGAGAUUGAUGUUCGACAAUGCCUUAAAGUGAUGUCUACAUGUAGAAAACUGGCACGGUCUCCAUUCUUGAAAGAUGAAGCACAUUUUUGUUUAUUUUGGCGAAGGAAAGUAUGGCAGGUCUUGUCUGCAUCUUUACAGCAUAAUGACUCUCUCCUAACAUCCUAGGACUUGGGAGUUUAUCUUGUUAGUGUAUAGUAUAAUGUUGGUUACAUGUUUUCUUGCAUCUCUCUUUCUCCUUUACUCUAUGAUAGAAACACUUUUAUUGCUUGUUCCUUUUCAAGUGGUCCUUCAGGGUUUAGAAUUUCACACUUAGUUGUUUUUGCAUAAGCAGAACAGUAGCACUGAGCAUAAUGCAAAUCAUGUGUUUUGUAAUCAGUUCAACUUAUAUAGUUAUUAUGUGUUGUACAUGUGUGCUAAUGACCUCAUGACCUGAUAGAUGCUGAGAACCUUUGUUAGAUGAAACCUUUGCUUUUAGAAACUAGAGUUUUUGCUAUAUGACUAUACACUGCCUGCUAUUGAAUGUAAGCUACUGCAAAUAAUUACAGCAUCUUAUAACUCAAUUUGAUACAGAUAAAUUGUGAUGUUUUCAGGUUCCUAACUAAAAGAGAAACAGCAAGAACAUGAAGAGCUAGUGUCUUGGACAUGACACAUGUGCAAUUACUGUUCUUGCGCUCAACCCUAGGCCUUGUGAGCAGGGGCAGACCUACGUUGAAGCUAGUGAGGGCACAGGCCCUCACUCAAAUCCUAACGCCAGCGGAAGAUCACAGAUAUUCACCAUGCAUGUUUAUUUAUUUUCUGUGAUCCAAUAGAGUAUGCCCUCACUCAGAAUUUAGUCCGAGUCUGCCCCUGCUUGUGAGAAGAUGCAGAUGUGUGUCGAAAGUGCUUGAGGCUGCUAGUGGAGGAAGGGAUGCAUGCUAGUCCUAUCUAGUUAUUUCUGCUGGAGCUACUGUGUCAACUUUUAGUGUAUUCAAAUGUAUGGGUCAACAAGCAUUCUGUAUGUAUUCAUAUAAAAUUUGUUUCAAAUUGUGAUGAUUGUUUGAAUGGGCCUGGGCUAUUGAUAAUUUUCAAAAUAA
Molecule: long non-coding RNA, 2220 nt
Organism: Setaria italica (foxtail millet)
Lineage: Eukaryota; Viridiplantae; Streptophyta; Magnoliopsida; Poales; Poaceae
Exons: 4
Source: RefSeq, a predicted model, not a curated record